Molecule: ribosomal RNA, 1016 nt
Filed under: Linnemannia amoeboidea
Lineage: Eukaryota; Fungi; Mortierellomycota; Mortierellomycetes; Mortierellales; Mortierellaceae
Description: eukaryotic LSU rRNA
Rfam family: Eukaryotic large subunit ribosomal RNA
Source: RNAcentral
UUCCCCUAGUAACGGCGAGUGAAGCGGGAUGAGCUCAAAUUUAAAAUCUGGCUGGUUUACUAGUCCGAAUUGUAGUUUAAAGAAGCGUUUUCCGUGGCAGCCUGGGUAUAAAUCCUUUGGAACAGGGUAUCAUAGAGGGUGAGAAUCCCGUCUUUGACUCAGUGCAUGCUACUAUGUGAUACGUUUUCAAAGAGUCGAGUUGUUUGGGAAUGCAGCUCAAAAUGGGUGGUAAAUUUCAUCUAAAGCUAAAUAUUGGCGAGAGACCGAUAGCGAACAAGUACCGUGAGGGAAAGAUGAAAAGAACUUUGAAAAGAGAGUUAAACAGUGCGUGAAAUUGUUGAAAGGGAAACGCUUGACACCAGUCAUGCGGGUGGAAAAUCAAUCUUUUGCAGCGGGGAGUGGUGGGCGUUCAGACCGCAAGGCUGGCGUUUGCUUCAUCUUUGUUGUAAGUGAUGCACUUUUUCAUCUGCAGGUCAACAUCAGUUUGUUCUGCUGGACAAAACUCCAAGAGAAGGUAGCAGCUUAGGCUGUGUUAUAGCUCUGGAGCGAUACAGUGGAGUGGACUGAGGUUUUCGCAGCAUGUGCUCUCGGGCAAGGCUGAUUGGGUGCUAUGGGAUCGUUCGGCGUACAAUGCUUGCAUUUUGCGUCGUGUCUUUUCUGUACUCGCUCAACUCGGCUCUUCCAUGCUUAGGAUGUUGACUUAAUGGUUUUAAUCGACCCGUCUUGAAACACGGACCAAGGAGUCUAACAUAUAUGCAAGUGUUUGGGUGGCAAACCCAUGCGCGUAAUGAAAGUGAACGUAGUGCCAUCCGCAAGGUGCAGCAUCGACCGAUCUUGAUAUUUUGGAUAGAUUUGAGUAAGAGCAUAUAUGCUGGGACCCGAAAGAUGGUGACUAUGCCUGAUAGGUGAGCAGAGGAAACUCUGGUGGAGCUCGUAGCGAUUCUGACGUGCAAUCGAUCGUCAAUUUGGUAUAAGGCGAAGACUAUCGACCAUCUAGUAGUGGUCUACCAGUGUCU